AACGAACGCUGGCGGCGCGCCUAAUACAUGCAAGUCGAGCGAGAAGACGUAGCAAUACGUUUGUAAAGCGGCGAACGGGUGAGGAAUACAUGGGUAACCUACCCUCGAGUGGGGAAUAACUAGCCGAAAGGUUAGCUAAUACCGCGUACGCUCCUCGGACUUCGGUUCAGGGAGGAAAGCGAUACCGUGGGUAUCGCGCUCUUGGAUGGGCUCAUGUCCUAUCAGCUUGUUGGUGAGGUAACGGCUCACCAAGGCUUCGACGGGUAGCUGGUCUGAGAGGACGAUCAGCCACACUGGCACUGCGACACGGGCCAGACUCCUACGGGAGGCAGCAGUAAGGAAUAUUGCGCAAUGGGCGAAAGCCUGACGCAGCGACGCCGCGUGGGGGAUGAAGGUCUUCGGAUUGUAAACCCCUUUCGGGAGGGAAGAUGGAACGAGCAAUCGUUCGGACGGUACCUCCAGAAGCAGCCACGGCUAACUUCGUGCCAGCCGCCGCA
Molecule: ribosomal RNA, 497 nt
Filed under: uncultured bacterium
Lineage: Bacteria
Description: bacterial SSU rRNA
Rfam family: Bacterial small subunit ribosomal RNA
Source: RNAcentral